Molecule: non-coding RNA, 1530 nt
Organism: Danio rerio (zebrafish)
Lineage: Eukaryota; Metazoa; Chordata; Actinopteri; Cypriniformes; Danionidae
Source: Ensembl
ACAGUGAGCUUCAGUUUAUAGCGCUGACGACUGACAAUGAGAAAGUCUUUUACAUAUGCUCUCUUAGCUUUAUUCAACAAAGCUGUAUAUCAAGAUGUGUGCUGUGCGCUCUCUCCUUUUGCUGAUAUUUGGAUUUAACAUGCUGAAGUUCAUCUGCUGUUACAGUGAUGGAAGUUUAUUGAACGACCAGUGUCAAAAUAUGGAUAUAAAUCAUGGAGUUCAAGCAUCAGGACAAGAUUCAAACCCUUUCACCGUCGUUCCAGAUAAUGUGAUCGUGGACAGUUCACAAGUGGGAAGGAGCUUUACAGUGACGCUCUCGACUUCUUCUGGUUCAUUUAUGGGCUUUAUGCUGGAUGCUCGACAGUGUGAUAGUUGUCUACCUGCUGGUGUGUUUAGUGUGCUUGACCCGAUGAAGAGUCUGCUCAUAUGUGGCGGCCAGGCCGUGGCUCAACCGGAUAACACAGAUAAAAAUUCAGUCCAAGUGAACUGGACGCCUCAAACAACUGGACAGUUUUUCUUCAGAUCUGCUUUCAUUAAAGAUUACAGUACAUUUUGGCUAAAGAAAGCAAUCAUACUCCCGACGACAACAACACCAACCACUACAACAACCACCACAACAACUACACCUACAACCACUACAACAACUAGACCCACAACUACUACACCAACUAUACCCACAACUACUACACCAACUAGACCUGCAACCACUACACCAACUGGGCCUACAACCACAACAGCAACUGUAACAAGCACGCCAUCACCACUGGCUCAGUGUGUGAAGUAUAUGAGAAGUUGUGUGGUACUGUUGUUAUUAAGCAGACUUUGUUUUCUUGGAGGCUCUUCUCUGCUCAUGAUCAUCAAACCAGUUUCAAAGAUGGCCUGAUGCACACCAUCAUAGUUUUCUUUUACCGCGGACCAAGUGAUGAAUUAAGAACGUGUUGGAUUGGUUCUCUCAUAACAGUUGACCUACUAAAUACAAUCAUUACAUCCGUCUCAAUAUUUUAUGGGUUAUGGUGGUUUCAAGAGCACUGGAUGCCAAUAUUAAUGGGAGUUUAUGUUUUUUUGGAGUUCAUCCUUUACCUGGGAGCAGUUUGCUUUCAGCAGAUGGAAAAACGCAAGGCAGAAAGAAAAAAUAUUACUGCUCUGAAACACAGGAAACUCUCAUGGAGGUUCAUGUUUGUCAUUUGCUUAGUGUUUUAUAUCAUGAUUACAGUUGCACUUAUUGCCGGAGUGUCUUCACAUGUAAUGUAGAACUGUCAAAAGAACUUCUGCAAGAUUCUUUGCUUGGCAGAUGUUUGCAGAACAGUUUCAAGAUUUUAGUGUGUUUCUACCAGGGUUCCCACGGGUGAUGGGAUUUGUGGAAUGUCAUGGAAUAUGAGGCAUAUUCCAGACAUUAGCAGUCAGGGAAUUUUAUAUAUAUUUUUGUCAUGGAAUAUCAGGGAUAUUUGCUUGCAUUUGAAAUCUUACCUUUUAUCAAACUGUUCUAUCACAUUGUUUUACUUGUUUUGACUACUGUUAUGGUUAGGCUAU